This 675-nucleotide ribosomal RNA is filed under the name uncultured bacterium. RNAcentral describes it as "bacterial SSU rRNA". It matches the Rfam family "Bacterial small subunit ribosomal RNA", at positions 8 to 658 of the family's 1533-position model. The record is from RNAcentral.
AGAGUUUGAUCCUGGCUCAGAACGAACGCUGGCGGCGCGCCUAACACAUGCAAGUCGAGCGGGAAAGUGGGGGCAACUCCACGAGUACAGCGGCGCACGGGUGAGUAACACGUAGGUAACCUACCUGCGAGACUGGGAUAACCUGCCGAAAGGCGGGCUAAUACCGGAUAAGACCACGGGGGCUGCGGUCCCUGGGGCAAAAGGUGGCCUCUGCUUGCAAGCUACUACUCGCGGAUGGGCCUGCGCGCCAUUAGCUAGUUGGUGGGGUAAUGGCCCACCAAGGCAGAGAUGGCUAGCUGGUCUGAGAGGAUGGCCAGCCACACUGGGACUGAGACACGGCCCAGACUCCUACGGGAGGCAGCAGUGGGGAAUAUUGCGCAAUGGGCGAAAGCCUGACGCAGCGACGCCGCGUGGGUGAUGAAGGCCUUCGGGUCGUAAAGCCCUGUCGGGAGGGACGAAACCUCGGUGACCCAAUACGUCAUCGACCUGACGGUACCUCCUAAGGAAGCACCGGCUAACUCCGUGCCAGCAGCCGCGGUAAUACGGAGGGUGUAAGCGUUGUUCGGAAUUACUGGGCGUAAAGCGCGUGUAGGCGGUCGCUUAAGUCUGAUGUGAAAGCCCGGGGCUACCUNCGGAAGUGCAUUGGAAACUGAGCGACUAGAGUGCCGGAAAGGA